GGCCGCGGGAAUUCGAAAAAAACAUAACACAUGCAAGUCGAACGGCUCUUCGGAGCAGUGGCGGACGGGUGAGUAACGCGUGGGAACGUGCCCUUUGGUUCGGAACAACACAGGGAAACUUGUGCUAAUACCGGAUGAGCCCUUUGGGGGAAAGAUUUAUCGCCAUUGGAGCGGCCCGCGUUGGAUUAGGUAGUUGGUGGGGUAAAGGCCCACCAAGCCGACGAUCCAUAGCUGGUCUGAGAGGAUGAUCAGCCACACUGGGACUGAGACACGGCCCAGACUCCUACGGGAGGCAGCAGUGGGGA
RNAcentral lists this ribosomal RNA (305 nucleotides) under uncultured bacterium. Its description in RNAcentral is "partial 16S ribosomal RNA". It matches the Rfam family "Bacterial small subunit ribosomal RNA", at positions 47 to 360 of the family's 1533-position model. The record is from RNAcentral.